Molecule: ribosomal RNA, 272 nt
Filed under: uncultured bacterium
Lineage: Bacteria
Description: partial 16S ribosomal RNA
Source: RNAcentral
CUGCUGCCUCCCGUAGGAGUCUGGUCCGUGUCUCAGUACCAGUGUGGGGGACCUUCCUCUCAGAACCCCUGCGCAUCGUCGGUUAGGUGGGCCGUUACCCCGCCUACUGCCUAAUGCGCCGCAUGCCCAUCCCUGUCCGGCCGAAGCCUUUCCUGCCUCCGGGAUGCCCCGGUGGCAUGUACGCGGGUUUAGCCCGCCUUUCGGCGGGUUGUCCCCCUGACAGGGGCAGGUUGCAUACGUGUUACUCACCCGUGCGCCGGUCGCCGGCGGAG